ACUAAUACUGUGAAUAAACUAAUCGGAACUAAGGUUGCAAAAAUUUACCAACAAAAUAAAUGGGUAAAAGGAAAACAGGAGGUACCAACUCCUACAAGUAGAAUCUAAAAAUUGUCUUGGUAUAUACAACGAUGUUGCGUCCAACUAGCAUGUUCGUGUUCCGCUUCUGUCAUCCCUCGUUGACCCUUGCUGGGGUUGUUCCUUAUGCUUGCCCACGCACGUUCCACUUGCUGCUAAUGGCCAUAAGUCCUAAACCUGAAAAUAUGAUACCACAAAGACAGACAAAAAAGAGGGGGGAUUGUCACCGAUACCGCUGGUGAGGCCCCACCCGUGGCAAAAGAGUGCAAAAGGUUUGUAAUAAAAACCUUAUUUAUUAUUAAAUAAAUUAAAUAAUAGAUAAACAAAAAACAAAAAACAAAAAAAAAAUUUGCUUACAGAUAUAAAAUCAAAACACAAUAAAGUCAGAAAAAUAAAUCAACACAACAUGAAUAACAAAUACAAGAAUGAGCUUGAGAUUCAACUAAGGGAAAUAGAGAUGGAGGAUGAGGCUGUUGCAAUGCCGGCGCAAGUGGUGGUGGGAAAACAGGAGAGAGAAAGAGAGUAAAAGAAGACAAAGGUGGGGUAGGGGUAUGGGGAGCUUACCCGAUUUGGUUGUCAUACAUCCUUUUUUAAUACACUCGCAAGGACGUAAAGGAGUUUUUCCAUUUUAAGUGACAAUAUUUAAAUCGGGAUUAUUUAUUUCAGAGUCGCCACUUGGGAUAAGGCUGGUUUUUUAUGUCCCAAGUUCUUACCUGGUGUGGUGGUUGCCGCCGGUGACUUAGAAAAAGACAUUAGGGGGCAGGGAGCAGAGAUACGUUCGGGAGCAUAGAGACGUUAUUAAAGAAAUAGAGAGAGAGUCCCUCGUUA
Molecule: long non-coding RNA, 906 nt
Filed under: Nicotiana benthamiana
Lineage: Eukaryota; Viridiplantae; Streptophyta; Magnoliopsida; Solanales; Solanaceae
Description: long non-coding RNA (NBEN_LNC037386)
Source: RNAcentral